This 7741-nucleotide long non-coding RNA is filed under the name Brassica rapa (field mustard). Its description in RNAcentral is "long non-coding RNA (BRAP_LNC001652)". Lineage: Eukaryota; Viridiplantae; Streptophyta; Magnoliopsida; Brassicales; Brassicaceae. The record is from RNAcentral.
ACAAAUUCAAACUCUAUUAUAAAGUUACUCUAUUUUAGAAUAAAAAAAAUAAAGUAAGCCAUUGGAGAUGGUCUUAUAACCCUUUUUGUUUUAACUAAAACUGAAACAGAAAAGCGAAAUAAAUCUUAGUAUCAUCAGCUUGAGCUAAAACAAACCGUACCCCAGUUUAUCAAUCUUAACAGUAAACCCCCAAUAUGAAAAUCGUGAAAAACAAAAAUCAAACCGUAAACCAUGUUGAUCAUCUCAGUUAACCGAUACAGUAAAAGGAAAUAUAAAUUUACUAUUACCGAAUGAACUUUAAUCUUUAGACUUUAACAUAAAUAUCUAGCUAAAUGACUCACUAAUAUUAUUGAGAGACUUGAGAGCCAUUCCACACAUUAUCUUGCAGCAUGAUUGUCUUUUGAUAUGGCCGUUGAUUGCUUGCUUCUUCAAAAUCUUCUUCAUUUCCAUUAAGGGAAUACAUUAACAAAAUAUUUUUUUUCUUGUAAAAGCUUAUGUUGCUGGUCAUGGUUUAUGGGAUAUGAAUCAUGUGAUGUUUGUAAACGUAAAUGCGACCACUCGUGCUGCCAAUUGUUUUUCUGUUCGUGUUGCCAAAUGUUUUGUGUCGAUAAAGACAAGGAGUGCAUCCUUCGUUGUGUUGGCACCCGACUUUGCAAGGAUAAAGCCACCUGUAACCCCUCAGUGUGCAUUAGCAUUAUGUUAACAUGUCUAUGUUUUAAUUAUUUAUGUGUUGACACCAAUGACAUGCAUGGUUUCUUUUGGUGGCCGUGGCUUACAUUUAUUUAGUGCAUGGUAUCUAAUAAAGUUUAAAUGAAAUGUGAAUUUACUUUAAUUAGUAAACUCUUAGAUAAAUCCCAAAUUUGUUAAUUCCACAUUUGUAAUGUAUCAAUCACUUGCAUCCAUAUAUUGCUCAUAGUCUUCAUUGCUAAAAAAUAUAUUAUUAAUCUCAUGAUUAACUUCAAUCUCUUAACUGAGAUUCUUAGCUUUUCUUAGAUUUUAAUUAAGAAAAUCUAAGAAUCAUCUUUUAAAUAAAAGAUAUAAGAGUCGUCUUUUAGCCGAAAAAUAUAAAAAAAAAGUCAAAUUAUGAGUUAAUAACCCUCGUUAAAAAAUCGAAAUUGAUCAUGCUCUUACACUAUCAACGUUAUAGAAUGACCUUUAUACGAGUCUAUUUUUUAAUUACAUGUCAUGCCAUUAUAUUUUAGCCCAACUAAUAUGGGCUUACAUGUCAUAUUUCCAUGUCACUGCCUGAACCAAGGGAUGAUAAGUCGGAAUCUGCGCUAAGCUUAAACCAUGAGUUAACUCCAAAGGUUAUUAUGGAAAAAUACAGUAGGGCAAAUUCUAGAAAUUCUCUAUUUUUUAAACAAUAUUAGUAAAAUAAAUUAGAAAUACUAUUAGGUCAUUUCCAACUCCACUCCAUAUUUUAUUCCAAAAUUGAGAAAAUGGAGUGGGAAAUGGAGUAAUGAACAAAAAAUAAAAGGAUUACUCCAUUUAUAGAGUGAUGCUUUUAUUUUUUGUUCAUCACUCCAUUUCCCACUCCAUUUUCCCAAUUUUGGAGUAAAAUAUGGAGUGGGGUUGGAGAUGCUCUUAGGCUUUGACAAGCUAGCGAAUGAACAAUAAAAACGAAGAGAUAAUAAUAUCAUUUUAAUUGAAAGACACAAGUACGAAGGCUCUCUCUCUCUCUCUCUCUCUUCUCUUUAGAGAGAGGAUUCUCUCUCUUUCUGUCCCUGUUCUCAGAUUUCUACUUUUCACAGGGAGAAAGAGAGACUUGCCUUAUGUUUUUUGUUUUAAAAUAUUUUCUUCGAUCUAUAGAUCGAUUUCCUUGUUUUGCUUAGGCGAUUUUACUUCCGGUUAGCAGAAUAGUUUUCGUUUGGCGAUCAAUUUGGUUCGUUAGGCGACUUUUGAUGUGUUCUAAAGCUUUUCCUUCUUUGAUUUCAUUUGUAUUCCGUAAGAUCUCUGAAGAUUUUAUCUCACUUUGUUAGAAAGCUUUGUUCUUGAUUCUGGAUAGGAAUCAAUCUUCGCCUCAGCUCAAGUGGAGUUUCCCAAAAAAUCAAGACCAAAGAUGUGUAUAAGGUCGGACGUUUUGAAGCAGUUCCAGAUGAGGCGGAGCUUCCCGUUUAGGAAAGUGUUCCGGCAAGGUGUUGUGUUCGAUUCUCUCUGAAGCUUUUCUUGGAUAAAUCUCUAGUAAGUGAUGAAGAAUUCUUAGUGAAUCAAUGGCGAUUAGAAGAAGGAGCGGCGUGCAAGCACUACAAACGAGGCGAGAAGGGAGUUUGAUGGUUCCUCGUCCGGUGAUGAGCUCCGGCGGCGCAAGGCGAGGCCACGCAAGCACAACGUGUCGAACAUGCGGGAAUCCUAAUCUUCUGUGUUCGGGCUUCGUAAUGGACCGAAUGUAUUAAUCUUAGGUUUGUAUGCUUGUAAUCUUAGCCUGUUGGGCUUUAAUAAAAUGAAGUUGACAAAAAAAAAAAAAAAAAAAAUUGAAAGACACAAAGGGAGGCGUUUAGGACACUCGACAAAGUCGACAUGAGUUAAUACGUGUCUGAAAACUUUCCUAAAACGCACCGUUUAGCAUUUUUUUUUGUUCCUGCUCUCUCGUUACCAAAACAAAAUAUCCAAACAACAUAAAAACGGAGUAAAAAUAAAUUAAAAGAAAAAGAAAAAACGUUCAGUGUCUCCGGCCAGCUACACAGGAAGACAUUAGAAUCAAAUUAGGUAUACGACUGGUUGGAGAGAUAAGCCAUGGGAAGGAGAAAAGUGGAGAUCAAACGAAUUGAGAACAAAAGCAGUCGACAAGUCACUUUUUGUAAACGACGCAAUGGCCUCAUGAAGAAAGCUCGCCAGCUCUCAAUUCUCUGUGAAUCCUCCGUCGCUCUUCUCAUAGUUUCCUCCACCGGAAAACUCUAUAGCUCCUCCUCGGGCGAUAGGUAACACUAUUUUGUUAAAUUUUGUCGAGAACAUAGAAACUAAAAACCUAGGGUUUUUUCUUUUCCCCUUGUAUCUUCAAGGCCGAUCUUGUUGCUUUGUUCAUCUAUGUGUAGAUUCAACUUCAUUUAAAACUAAACAAUGUGGUGGCUAAAGAUUAUCUUGAUGUUCGUUUUGUUUUGUUUUCAUUUUUAUUGUUUUAGUGUGUUUGCAGGAAUUUUUUUUGUGUGGUGAAUAUAUUAUUUGCAUGCGCUUAAAGAGAUUUUGCUACACGUGGUGAUCUUUACUUUAUGUUUGUCUAUUGAGAUUUCAAGUUGUCUUCGUUAUGUGUUGCUACUAGAGUUAUAUAAGAACGAAACGUACAUUGUUUAAUUUUAAAUUAAUAUUGGCUCAUUAUCCUCUUAAUCACCGAAUUCAAUUCCAUUAAUGCUAUGUAUCGAGAAUCUUUAGAUUGGAACGGUGCCACUUUUUGUUAUUGCAAUUUGUUACAAGUGUACAUUCCAGAUGACUUAUUAGUUUAUAUUUUUGUUAAUUUGAUGCUUAUAAGUAAAAUGUUUUUGGUUGAUUUUGAUGGUCAAAUGUAGUGCUGUGAUCAACUAGAAAGAGUACUAAAAUAGAGCUUUCACACAUGCUAAAUUACUCCACUUCCUCGAAUCUCGUUUUUUUUCUUGUCACCGAUAACUCACACACGCACACUCCCGCACUUGAACUUGAAUUUGAAUUAUAACACAACGGUAUCACUAGAACAACCAACUAGGCUAGCAGAGCUCAGCCUCAUGUCAUCGAUUUUUUCCUUCUUUACUUGUGAUAUUUGUGUGCAUAGAGCAACUGACAAGAUACAUGUGUACAUUGUUGACUAGAUUUUUUUUUUUUUACAUCUCUUCUCCUUUGCCAUUGGGCCUGAUGGCCUAGAGGAACUGAGCCUCUACAAUCAUUUGGUUACAUACAUUUUACCUUGUGUUUUUCGUUUAUGACAUUUCCUAGGUGAUUACAAUGAACCAAACUGUGAUCUUUUAGGAAUGGGAAUAUUAUCCUUGUCACUGUAUAUAACGCUCCUUAACGUUGCCUUGAUAUCAAUACCACAAAUUCUUGAUCUAUAUCAUGAAAGUAUAUAUGUUACACUGGCAGCUAACAUGCACGGAAUUUGAAGAACUAAGAAUGGAACUUUUUAUUUUUUUUGCUUCAAUUUUAACAAUAGUUAAAACUCUAGUUGUAGAUAGGAUCCUUCUACUAACUAGUAACUUAUAUAAUUAAAAGACUUGACUUGAGAUUGUGAUUCUCUUUUUUGUCAACUGAGAUUGUGAUUCUUAUGCGCCUUACUAAUUGCAUAGUUUCAAAUUAUAUUUUUUAUGGGCCGUAGGAUGCUAGAAGAUCAAGUCCAUCAAAUUCACUCUAUGAAUUGAACUCUUGCAAUAGAUCAUGGACAUCACAAAUUAAGUAGGGUGGAGUUUGUGAUAAGAUGUAGGUUUUUUUUUCCUUUGAAACACAGAUAUAGGUAUCAAUCAAAAUCUUACAUGGAAAAAAAAAUUAUUGUAUUUAUAGACCUACGAACAUGAAUUUCAUUGAGAUUUCGUUUUAAGGGGGAGUUUAGUUUUCAAUAUGUCUAUCCAGUUAUUCUUUCCGCGAUUGCUGUUAGGUUUCUUAGAAUAACAAAAAGUUUAUCAUUCAACUUUGAUAAGAAAGUAUGAGGUAUUAACUAGACUUGAUUAACAUAACUUGUUAUUGUGCAUAUAUAUGUCCAUAAGUCUGAAUUCAGUGGCUGAAAGGUUGAUUAUAUAUAACCAAAAUUUUGAGAUGGACUUAGUGGUUAUUAGAUUUGUAUAUUGCAAAGUUAUAAAUAAAUAAAUAGAGACCAGAACUUUGAGAUGGAUAUUGUGGUUAUUAUAUUUGCUUUUUUGCAAAGUUAUAAAUAAAUAGAGUUAUACAUUUACUUUUUAAGAAAUAAUUUUUUACAUAUAUGCAUUGACAUUAAAAUUUAAGACGAGAUUAUGUACCAGAAAGUUAAAAAAGAAGUCUGUUAUAGCACAUGAAUCUGUCAUACAAAAAAAACUAUUAGAUGUGUUCCUAACACUUUGUAUAGAAGCCGUAAGUAAGGUUCAUCACCAGAAACUGUAGAAUAAAGUGUUAGUAGAAUAUUUGAUGAUUCAUCUAAUUAACUUGUCUCUAAUAUAUUUGUUUUGUAUUUUUGAAAUGGUUUGGCAUGAGUAGUAUCUAAUACUUUCUCUUUCUUGAUUUGACUGCAGCAUGGCUAAGAUCCUCACGCGUUAUAAAACACAACAUGCUGACGAACUUAAAACGGUGGUAAGAAUUUCUUAGCCACACACGCAUAUGUAGUUGAGAUGAGCCUUUAGAAGAUAGUUUAUAUCGAGAGGGUAAACUGCUAUAUGUGAAUACUUUGUGUAGUUCUUUAACAUAUUAUAGACUUCGUUCUUCUCUGUUGAUAUUGCAGUAAAAAGCCUACCGCAAGGUUUUCAGUUUGUUGUAUACCAAACUUUAUUCUCGAGGGUUAGACCUAUAUCUUGUCAGCCAUACAUAGAUUCAUUGCUCCCAAAGUCAUGUACGACACAUGUAAUUGAGAUGAGCACAUAGAAUCGUAUCUAGCUACAAUAGUCCACUGAGAUGUUUUGUGUAGUGCCUAAACAUUGUUUAGGGAGAACAACACAGGUAACAAAUAAUUUAAUACUAAAGAUUCAAGCCAUACAAUACUGCUAGUGUUGCAUUACAUGGUCUACGGGACGGUUGUGAACCACUUGUGGUGUACCAAACUUAACUGUUGAAGACCACAAGAAAUUCACAAUAUUUUUUAUCGUUCCGUAUUAGUAUUAGGUAAAUAUUAAUGGGUCUUAAUCUCUACAUAAUCCUAGUACUAGAUAUUAAUUGGCUCUAUUAGGAUUAGACCUUAAUGGGUCAUAGACCUUAAUCUAUAGUUAAUCCUAAUAUUAGAUAUUAAUGGGUCACCUAAUCCUAAUAAUCCUCCAUUUCUUUUUUAUGGCAGGAUCUAGCAGAAAAAACUCGGAAUUAUCUUUCACACGAGGAGUUACUGGAAAUAGUCCAAUGGUUAGCACUAUCCUUUUUCCCCUUCACCCAGGGGCGGUCCUGGGCACAGCGGACUGAAACACCGGCUUAGGGCCCCCAAAUUUUUUUAAAAAAUUUACAUAAGAAGGGGCCCCUAAAUUUGUAAAAAAAAUUUUUUUUAUAAAACCCUUACUAAAUUGUUUUAGGCCCCCAGCAUCUCAGGGACGGCCCUGCCUUCACCUUCUGGAAAAAUAGUUUGAUAAAAAAACUCUUCUAUUUUUGUUGGUUUAUAAGUAUCUAUAUAUAUGUGCAGCAAGCUUGAAGAAGCAAAAAAUGAUAACAUGAGUAUAGAGUCCCUAAUUUCCCUGGAAGAGCAAUUCAAGAGUGCUCUGUCUUUAACUAGAGCUAGGAAGGUAUUUGUGCUGCUAAGAAGUGAUUCAGAUCAAUUAUUGUUAAUCUUGUGUUUACUUUUCAUUCCAAGAACAGUCUUUGGACACUUCUUGGCUUUGGAUCAUGUUUCCAGUUUGACAUAAUCCUUGAUCUCAUGUUGCAGGCAGAGCUAAUGAUGGAGUUUCUGAAGACCCUUCAAGAAAAGGUUAACGGUCUUGAUUUUUGUUCGCCGUCCUGGCCACUGUAGUUUUCCCAUCCUCGAGAGUAUUCAGAUCACUAGACAGACCAAGUUUAGCUCUCUAGAUAUGUAUAUUGGUCUUGUCUUAGUUCCUGACUUACUAUUGGCUUCACUUAAACAUUAACAAAUCUUACGAUAUAUUGGUGUUUCAGAACAUGUUAAGAAAACUGAUGGAGUUGUGAUGUUGUUUAAACAGGAGAAGCUGUUGAGGGAAGAGAACAAGGUUUUGGCUAGCCAGCUUACAAAGGUACCAUCUAUUAUGCUUCUAGAAGCUAAUAGUUAAUACUUAAUAGACAUGUAGAUGGACAUCAGAUAGAUGCCCCUACAGAGUACAGACUUGCAUAUACUUCAUAUAUACAUAUAUAUGAAAGCUAGGGGAGCUUGUGGAUGCUAGAAUUUUUUUUAGUGAACACAUGGUUCGAUUUUUUAUAACUUUUACGAGGUUUAAAAACUAGAUUUUUUUUUUGUUAAUAUUUAGUAGCAUGCCGAAAAAUAUGUAAGAGUGUUUAUUACAGAUAAAGUUAGGACUUUGAUGGGUAGUACCUACUUUUUUAUUCUAUUUCUAGUAGGUUCCAUUCUAUAUAUUUCUAUUACUAUCAUACCACACAAUUUCUAGAGAGAUUAAAUUUAGAAAACUUACAAAAAGAAAUACCAUGGUUUUUUUUUGUUCUAAGGAAAUACCAUUCUUAUAAUGAAGAUUUCUUGUUAAUAACUAGGAAAAAACUGUAAGUUUCUUACAGAUGAUGCAUGAAAGCUAAGAACUUUGAUGACUACAUAAUUUCUUUAAACCAUGCUUUUAAAUCUAGAUAUUUCUUGUUAGGUAAUAAUAUUUAGUAUCUCCAGAAAAAGAAGUGUAAGCGAGUUUCUUACAGAUGAAGAAGAGCAGGUUUCUGGAAGCAGAAGAUGAGAGAGCAAUGUCACUGGCAAAAAGUUUCGGUAACAACACACCGGAGACUCUCUCGCUUCUCAAGUAACAACCACCAUCAAUCAACGUACGACUGAUUUUUCACCAUCCUGUUUCAGAAAUAAAAAUGUAAAAUAUUCAGAUUUGUAAAUCAACAUGGAGGCUAUACAUAUCUUAAAAUCAUCUUCCCCCUGAUACGCUAUCCAAGGGAAAUGUAACGAUCUGUGUUGUUACCUUCAAAGCGAGGGUCACAGUUUCAUUUGUUAUCUGUGUGCUUG